UUUUUUUUACAUAAAUAUGUACGGUCAGGUUGCUCCAUCCAUGGUUUUGUUCAGGUAACAGCAAUUCUAUUGCCAGUGUUGGAUUCAGAACCCUCAAAUCUGUAAGGAACACCUGCAAUUUUUGACAGGAGCAAAAAUUUGCCCCACCAUCCACCAACACAUGAACUGUGACCUUUUCAUGAAGGAGUGAAUUGCAUGAUACAAUGAUCCUCCCGUUAGGUGUAUAACUA
This is a long non-coding RNA of Erpetoichthys calabaricus (reedfish), 230 nucleotides long. RefSeq lists it as uncharacterized. The transcript has 2 exons. NCBI's taxonomy places the organism in Eukaryota, Metazoa, Chordata, Cladistia, Polypteriformes, Polypteridae. The record is from RefSeq and is a predicted model, not a curated record.